This is a long non-coding RNA of Passer montanus (Eurasian tree sparrow), 1726 nucleotides long. RefSeq lists it as uncharacterized. The transcript is spliced from 3 exons. The record is from RefSeq and is a predicted model, not a curated record. Lineage: Eukaryota; Metazoa; Chordata; Aves; Passeriformes; Passeridae.
UAGUAAAAUGUGUGCAUUGUUUUAGAGGCUGGAUUGUGAAACUAACCAUGUAUCUUGCAAAUCAACAAACAGAAAGAAGAAGCCUUGGUGGUUGUCUCAGAUAUUAACCAUACAGAUUUUAGUAAUGGGGUGUCUAUGUUUAAUUUUUAAUUUAUUUAGCCACAAUAUCUAGUCUAACUUAAGGCUUACAAAAUGCAAAUAUUGAAAAAUUCUUUAAAACUGAACACAUACACAGACAUUUGACUUCCAGCUUGGUAUGUUUCAUCUGCUUCAUCUCCUUUUGCAGGGUGUUAACUUCUGGGAAUAAACUGCUCUCAGCUUUAAAAAUGAACCCUUAGCCCAUGUGUUCAUGAAAUGGAUUGAGCUCAUUGUGGCACUGAUUUACUGUAACUAGAUGCAAGAUUGAUGCAUCCAGGAGAAACCAUUCCACAUAUCUCAUCUGUCUCUGGAACUGCCCCUUUAAUCUCUUUACUAGAUUUGAUUCUUCUCUAACAAACCAGCAGAUACCUCUAGAGCAGGUGUAUCCCUCAUUAUAAAUUUGCAAUUUAAAACCAAUGAGAAACAGGAGUGCCUGGCUGUAGAGAAAGUUCUUCCCUUGCAAGCCCCAUCCUACACCACGUGAGUGAAGGCUGCAGAAGUUUGGGAAACUGGAAUUGGACCAUCAGAAUGAAAAUCUGAUCAGAAGGAAAUUCUACCAGGAAAGAUCAAGAGUCCAUUUCUUCAGACAUGCAAAGGCUAGGAGAAACUCCAUUAACAGGAUUUGCUCCUGCUCUGCUGUAGUUACAGCCCUAAGAGAGGACUGGACUUUCCACUCUCACCAACUGAGCUAUAGAGGUAACACUUCAUCCUGCAGUCCUGUCUUUGAGUUGUCAACAUUCUUCUUUGGCUUUAAUGGUGACAUAAUGGGCUAACUAGGGCUUGGGCAGAUACUGCAUUUCUAAGGGGGGCACCAGAAUAGGACUGCAACUGCUGUGAUCACUCACCAGCAUGCCAGGCGUGGACUGCCCUUCUUGGCAAGGGGCUUUCUCUCCUGUCCCCCACUGCCCCAAUAUUCCCAGCUCCCCAACCCCUGGAUAGAGAGAGUUGUCAGCCUUUCUCUUAGCUACACCUCAGUCUCCUUUUGCCUCCCGCUCCUGCCUGUCAUGGUCCAAGGUUUCUGGGUACACAACUACAGUUUGUAAAUAUGGCUAAGCUUUCUGACACCUCUCAUGGGAGUUUUAUGUUGUUUAUCAGUAAUUUCUGAUUACACCUAAAGAUUGGAAAACAGGUAUCCAGUCAAAAUGUUUUUACUUAGUGUGUUUUGCCUUCUGAGAUACUUUAUCCUUGCUUUUAUUCCUAUUACAUUUCCACAGUUUUCUGGCAGGUCUGUUUUCUGAGUGCAUGAAUCUUACCUAUCAGAUUGCACUGGAGAAGAAAACAUUUAUUUUAAAAUGUUUAUGGGAAUAAAAUAAUAAUGCUAUUAUCUACACUCUUGAUUACCAGGAUUAUCUCAUAUAUAUACAGAUCCUCCAGAUAGGCAGAUUAAGUGAUCAGCAGGUUCUUAGUGGGCCCCAGGCUCAGAGUGUACACUAAAGAGGAUCAAGCCUGCUUAAAUUCAUGUGCUGCUUUGCUAAUGCCCCUGCUCUUUCUCAGGAGAAUUUCUGAAAUAUGUUAUCUGGGUCCCAGUGAGUUGGGUAGACAGUCUUUGGUUUUGAUGGACAAUAAACUGGGGCUGACUUGGAGCAAU